Molecule: long non-coding RNA, 1215 nt
Filed under: Felis catus (domestic cat)
Lineage: Eukaryota; Metazoa; Chordata; Mammalia; Carnivora; Felidae
Description: lncRNA (ENSFCAG00000053254.1)
Source: RNAcentral
CAUCCGCGGUGGUCCUGGCUCUACUGCAGGCGCAGGUGCCACCCUUGGGGCGCGAAGGACGAAAGUCCAGGUCCCCUCACAGAGCUCGCACCUAAGGAACUAUGGUGCCCAGGAGCCUGCUACCUCCACUUCCCGCCUGCAGGGUCGAGGCCCCGGAGUCCGCAUGCUCUUGCUGCGCGCCCUACAGCCUGGACUUCCAUCCCACUCGCCUUCUCCACCCAUGAGGGACCACGUGAGAUCACCGCCCUCCACAGGUCCGCUUCUCUUCCGCCGCGCGCAGGCGCACGCCUGCGCCUGCGCACUCUGAGCACAGGCGCCGGCACCGCCCGCUGCCUGCUGCCUGGGCUGCUCCCGCUGGACUGCAUUUCCCAGAAGCCACCGGGCUCGCAUCCCCCUCGACCCCUGAGUCCUUUUCCGGUGUCCAAACAGCUGUGGUCCCUACGUGGUGAGACCUAUCCAAAGUGCUGCCAGUCUCUUAAAAAAAAAAAAAAAGAUACUGAGAGCAAAAAGAAUUUUUGUUACACAUCUAAAAGUUAAAGUUCAGGUGAGUUUGUAUAUCCUCAUUAUUCAUAAAAUGCACUUUAAUUGUAAAGUUAUGAGACCCUUUCUUUUCCUCCUUCUGAAAUGUCCUGCCUAACAGUGACAUUAUCUGUGAAUUGUGUGUGAGGUCAUGCAGGUGGAUCAUCCUUCUCAGGACCCCCAAGUCCUUCUCCCCAUAAUUUAAUCUGUUGCCUACCGUUAGCUAUUAUGUUUCUAAUUUUUGAUUACCAACUAAAUUAGUCUAUAGUGAACAUCAUUAUGCAUAGAUCUUUAUGUCCUUUUAGAGUCAUUCCCUAAGGAUAAAUUUCUAGUUUUGAAAUUUGAGUCAAAUAUCAGAUAUUUACAAUAUAUCCAUAUGCUUGUACUCGUUGGAAUACAAUGACAAAAAGAUAUAGUUGCUAUCCUCAAAUUACUUGUCAUCCAGUAAGGAAAUGAAAUCAAAGUAGGAAUAAGAUAGACUAUGUGAGAGGCCACGAGGAGAAAUUCAGGUGAUCUGCUUUAGGAGUUCACAGGAAGAGACACCAUUCUGUCUCUAGCAGCCCUGUCACAAUAUGAUCACAUUAUGCCAACUCCCUUGUGUCACCUUACCACACUUUGUUUAUCCAUUCUUGUGACAACGGGUUGUUUUCCGCAUUUGACUGUUAGGAAUAAACCUUCUAUGAACACUCUUGUACA